This 387-nucleotide long non-coding RNA is filed under the name Monodelphis domestica (gray short-tailed opossum). Its description in RNAcentral is "lncRNA (ENSMODG00000042649.1)". Lineage: Eukaryota; Metazoa; Chordata; Mammalia; Didelphimorphia; Didelphidae. The record is from RNAcentral.
CAAGAUUUAAUUAUUUGAGAAUAUGACCUUCAACAGACAUGUGCAAAGCCACAGACCUCUGGGCGGUCCUGGGUUAAGCUAGAGCCACCAUUGGCACAGGGAAGACAUGGACAGUGAUUGGUAGAUGUGAGAACUGAGGGGAGGGAACUUGGAUGGUUUCCUUAAAGAUAGCUGGGUCAGAGGGGGUGGUUGGAGAGGUUUGGCUCUGAGAGGUUGUGCUCUGAGAAGCUUGCUCUGAAGGAAGCUGAAGGUGGAGGCCCCUGAGACUGUUUCUCCAUUUUGGUCACGGUACUGUCAUGUCCAUGGAUCCUAGCCCUGAAGAUGCUGCAGAACUGUACAGGACUGGAAAUUUCAGGAACUCGCUGAGGGAGGUGCGACCCUUAUCCC